UACGGGGGGGGUAAGCGUUGUUCGGAAUUACUGGGCGUAAAGGGCUCGUAGGCGGCCAACUAAGUCAGACGUGAAAUCCCUCAGCUUAACUGGGGAACUGCGUCUGAUACUGGAUGGCUUGGAUCCGGGAGAGGGAUGCGGAAUUCCAGGUGUAGCGGUGAAAUGCGUAGAUAUCUGGAGGAACACCGGUGGCGAAGGCGGCAUCCUGGACCGACAUUGACGCUGAUGAGCGAAAGCUAGGGGAGCAAACGGG
RNAcentral lists this ribosomal RNA (253 nucleotides) under uncultured bacterium. RNAcentral's name for it is "partial 16S ribosomal RNA". It matches the Rfam family "Bacterial small subunit ribosomal RNA", at positions 524 to 776 of the family's 1533-position model. The record is from RNAcentral.